RNAcentral lists this ribosomal RNA (434 nucleotides) under uncultured bacterium. Its description in RNAcentral is "partial 16S ribosomal RNA". It matches the Rfam family "Bacterial small subunit ribosomal RNA", at positions 341 to 792 of the family's 1533-position model. The record is from RNAcentral.
ACGGAAGGCAGCAGUGGGGAAUAUUGCACAAUGGGGGAAACCCUGAUGCAGCAACGCCGCGUGGGUGAAGAAGUAUUUCGGUAUGUAAAGCUCUAUCAGCAGGGAAGAUAAUGACGGUACCUGACUAAGAAGCUACGGCUAAAUACGUGCCAGCAGCCGCGGUAAUACGUAUGGAGCAAGCGUUAUCCGGAUUUACUGGGUGUAAAGGGUGUGUAGGCGGCAAGGCAAGGCAGAAGUGAAAUGCCGGGGCUCAACUCCGGCGCUGCUUUUGAAACUGCCAUGCUGGAGUCCAGGAGAGGCAGGCGGAAUUCCUAGUGUAGCGGUGAAAUGCGUAGAUAUUAGGAAGAACACCAGUGGCGAAGGCGGCCUGCUGGACUGGAACUGACGCUGAGGCACGAAAGCGUGGGGAGCAAACAGGAUUAGAUACCCUGGUA